UUUUUUGUCCUAAUAAAUUACUAUCUCUGUCACUUAAAGGCUUUUUGAACAAGAUUAAUUUUUAUGUAGGCUUAUUUUAUUUAACUGCAUAUGAUGUAUAGGCUACUGUGAUCUUAGUCUGACAUGUUACUCUUUUCAUGUAUUAUUUUCUUUGAUAAUAUUGAGAAUUUAAUGGGUUGUGUGUUCUUAUAGAUACUGAUGGACGGAUUGUAUUAUUGGACCCUCCAGAAAGAACACAGUCUGUCAUGGUUGAUGAAGAUGAUGAAGAUGACGAUGAAGAGACCACAUCUGCUGUGACAGACGUGGACAAUGCUGGUAGAUCCACUGAGUACAUACCUAGGGAUUUGCCCACAGAUGAGGGUCCUUCAACCUCAGCACACAAUCUAAGCAGGGUAAGAAUUUGUGUCCAGGUGUCCAUAUUUGAAUUUUAUUGUCU
This is a long non-coding RNA of Tachysurus fulvidraco (yellow catfish), 436 nucleotides long. RefSeq lists it as uncharacterized. The record is from RefSeq and is a predicted model, not a curated record. The transcript is spliced from 3 exons. NCBI's taxonomy places the organism in Eukaryota, Metazoa, Chordata, Actinopteri, Siluriformes, Bagridae.